GGGCCCGCACAAGCGGUGGAGCAUGUGGUUUAAUUCGAUGAUACGCGAGGAACCUUACCAGGGCUUAAAUGUAGUUUGACCGGUCUGGAAACAGACUUUCUCUUCGGAGCAGAUUACAAGGUGCUGCAUGGUUGUCGUCAGCUCGUGCCGUGAGGUGUUAGGUUAAGUCCUGCAACGAGCGCAACCCCUAUUCUUAGUUGCCAGCGGUUCGGCCGGGGACUCUAAGAAGACUGCCAGCGCAAGCUGAGAGGAAGGUGGGGAUGACGUCAAAUCAUCACGGCCCUUACGUCCUGGGCUACACACGUGCUACAAUGGUAGAGACAGAGGGCAGCCACCUGGUGACAGGGAGCG
RNAcentral lists this ribosomal RNA (351 nucleotides) under uncultured bacterium. RNAcentral describes it as "bacterial SSU rRNA". It matches the Rfam family "Bacterial small subunit ribosomal RNA", at positions 917 to 1269 of the family's 1533-position model. The record is from RNAcentral.